Molecule: non-coding RNA, 734 nt
Organism: Myxocyprinus asiaticus (Chinese sucker)
Lineage: Eukaryota; Metazoa; Chordata; Actinopteri; Cypriniformes; Catostomidae
Source: the annotation of a RefSeq genome assembly
AACAUCAGUUAAAGGAUUUGCAGUAUUUCAGAUCUGGAGGAGAGUUUCUUCAUUCUUAUCACUAAAAUGAAAGGCAAAUUAGGGUCUACCGACAGUUUCACAAUUCUUAGGGUGGAGCUUUGUGAGAAUGGAUACAGCAGAGAGGAGUUCAGAAUAUUUCCACAGAAGCAGCUCUUGUGUUACUCUAUGUCAUUGUGCAGUUCUUCUUCAUAUACUAUGAUGUUCUUUUACAUCACAGUUUUGACACUUCUUACAGAAGGUGUUUUUGCAAAUCCAAUCACGUCAAUCUCUACUGAAAAUCUUGCUUUAGAAGGAGAAAAGGUUACUCUUUCCUGCAGCUACAGUGAAAGUAAUAUAAGGAGUCUUCAGUGGUACAGACAGUAUCCCAAAACUGCCCCAGAAUUUCUCCUACAAGUUUUGGAAAAUAUGGGUCCAGAGAAGAAGGACCGUCAUGUUGCUGAAGCUCAUAAGGACAAGAAACAACUGGACCUGGAAAUCUCCAAAACUGAAGUGACAGAUGCUGCAAUAUACUACUGUGCAGUGGUGCCCACAGUAACAGGAAACCCUUCUACACUGUACCAAAACGGGAUUCCUUUUCAAACACAAUAACACCAUUAUCCUCUGAAAAACAUAUUUUCAAUGGUGAAAAUGUGAUUCUCUCCUGUAACUACAGCGGUGAUGUAAACAAUCUGCAAUGGUAUCGUCAAUAUCAGGGAUCUCGACCACAGUUCCUC